GUACUGAUGAAGAGUUCCAGACUAGGAGGAAAUAGCUGUCCAGUAC
RNAcentral lists this non-coding RNA (46 nucleotides) under Trichobilharzia regenti. Lineage: Eukaryota; Metazoa; Platyhelminthes; Trematoda; Strigeidida; Schistosomatidae. The record is from RNAcentral.